AUUGAACGCUGGCGGCAUGCUUUACACAUGCAAGUCGAACGGCAGCGCGGGGCAACCUGGCGGCGAGUGGCGCACGGGUGCGUAAUAUAUCGGAACGUACCCAGAAGUGGGGGAUAACGUAGCGAAAGUUACGCUAAUACCGCAUACGAUCUACGGAUGAAAGUAGGGGACCGCAAGGCCUUAUGCUUUUGGAUCGGCCGAUAUCUGAUUAGCUAGUUGGUGAGGUAAAGGCUCACCAAGGCGACGAUCAGUAGCUGGUCUGAGAGGACGACCAGCCACACUGGAACUGAGACACGGUCCAGACUCCUACGGGAGGCAGCAGUGGGGAAUUUUGGACAAAGGGCGCAAGCCUGAUCCAGCAAUGCCGCGUGAGUGAAGAAGGCCUUCGGGUUGUAAAGCUCUUUUGUCAGGGAAGAAACGGUAGAGGCUAAUAUCCUUUGCUAAUGACGGUACCUGAAGAAUAAGCACCGGCUAACUACGUG
Molecule: ribosomal RNA, 482 nt
Filed under: uncultured bacterium
Lineage: Bacteria
Description: partial 16S ribosomal RNA
Rfam family: Bacterial small subunit ribosomal RNA
Source: RNAcentral